AAAAUCUUAAUUUAAUUAAAAUAUUAAAUUGUCAAUUUAAAAAUAUAUCCUUAGAUUUUA
RNAcentral lists this transfer RNA (60 nucleotides) under Ceraphron sp. MM-2014. RNAcentral describes it as "tRNA-Asp". Lineage: Eukaryota; Metazoa; Arthropoda; Insecta; Hymenoptera; Ceraphronidae. The record is from RNAcentral.